UGGGGAAUAUUGCACAAUGGGCGAAAGCCUGAUGCAGCAACGCCGCGUGAGUGAUGAAGGCCUUCGGGUCGUAAAGCUCUGUCUUCGGGGACGAUAAUGACGGUACCCGAGGAGGAAGCCACGGCUAACUACGUGCCAGCAGCCGCGGUAAUACGUAGGUGGCAAGCGUUGUCCGGAUUUACUGGGCGUAAAGGGAGCGUAGGCGGAUACUUAAGUGGGAUGUGAAAUACCCGGGCUCGACCCGGGUGCUGCAUUCCAAACUGGGUAUCUAGAGUGUGGGAGAGGAAAGUGGAAUUCCUAGUGUAGCGGUGAAAUGCGUAGAGAUUAGGAAGAACACCAGUGGCGAAGGCGACUUUCUGGACCAUAACUGACGCUGAGGCUCGAAAGCGUGGGGAGCAAACAGG
Molecule: ribosomal RNA, 404 nt
Filed under: uncultured prokaryote
Also listed under: 1 other name
Description: bacterial SSU rRNA
Rfam family: Bacterial small subunit ribosomal RNA
Source: RNAcentral